AGUAACCUUUUAGGAACUAGCCGUCGAAGGUGGGACAAAUGAUUGGGGUGAAGUCGUAACAAGGUAGCCGUAUCGGAAGGUGCGGCUGGAUCACCUCCUUU
This 101-nucleotide ribosomal RNA is filed under the name Staphylococcus simulans. RNAcentral describes it as "partial 16S ribosomal RNA". It matches the Rfam family "Bacterial small subunit ribosomal RNA", at positions 1434 to 1533 of the family's 1533-position model. The record is from RNAcentral. Lineage: Bacteria; Bacillati; Bacillota; Bacilli; Caryophanales; Staphylococcaceae.